Blastosporella zonata is the source of this 89-nucleotide non-coding RNA. Lineage: Eukaryota; Fungi; Basidiomycota; Agaricomycetes; Agaricales; Lyophyllaceae. The record is from the annotation of a GenBank genome assembly.
UCGGAUAUGGUGUAACGGCUAACAUUGCCGCCUCUCAGAUGAUCACCUCGUCCACGCGGCAGCUCGGGGUUCGAUUCCCCGUAUCCGAA